RNAcentral lists this ribosomal RNA (229 nucleotides) under uncultured bacterium. RNAcentral's name for it is "partial 16S ribosomal RNA". It matches the Rfam family "Bacterial small subunit ribosomal RNA", at positions 568 to 796 of the family's 1533-position model. The record is from RNAcentral.
UGCGUAGGCGGAUCAAUAAGUCAGUGGUGAAAUCUCUCGGCUCAACCGGGAAACUGCCAUUGAUACUGUUAGUCUUGAGUUCGGUUGAGGUAGGCGGAAUGUGUAAUGUAGCGGUGAAAUGCUUAGAUAUUACACAGAACACCAAUUGCGUAGGCAGCUUACUAGACCGACACUGACGCUGAGGCACGAAAGCGUGGGUAGCGAACAGGAUUAGAUACCCUGGUAGUCC